GAUGAACGCUGGCGGCGUGCCUAAUACAUGCAAGUCGAGCGAACAGACGAGGAGCUUGCUCCUUUGACGUUAGCGGCGGACGGGUGAGUAACACGUAGGUAACCUACCUAUAAGACUGGGAUAACUUCGGGAAACCGGAGCUAAUACAGGAUAAUAUUUCGAACCGCAUGGUUCGAUAGUGAAAGAUGGCUUUGCUAUCACUUAUAGAUGGACCUGCGCCGUAUUAGCUAGUUGGUAAGGUAACGGCUUACCAAGGCGACGAUACGUAGCCGACCUGAGAGGGUGAUCGGCCACACUGGAACUGAGACACGGUCCAGACUCCUACGGGAGGCAGCAGUAGGGAAUCUUCCGCAAUGGGCGAAAGCCUGACGGAGCAACGCCGCGUGAGUGAUGAAGGUCUUCGGAUCGUAAAACUCUGUUAUUAGGGAAGAACAAACGUGUAAGUAACUGUGCACGUCUUGACGGUACCUAAUCAGAAAGCCACGGCUAACUACGUG
Molecule: ribosomal RNA, 497 nt
Filed under: uncultured bacterium
Lineage: Bacteria
Description: partial 16S ribosomal RNA
Rfam family: Bacterial small subunit ribosomal RNA
Source: RNAcentral